CGUCGAUGUAACGUGUUGCGAGUGUUGCAGUCAAGAUCAGCUGCAAUAGCUGGCGAAGUAACUACGUUCUAAAUAGAAUAUUGUACAGGAUAAAUUUUAUUUUGAGAAAAGUUCAAAAAUGAUACAUUUCAAAACAUUUAUUGAAAACAUUACUCCUUUCUUUUAUCCUACUGGAAAAAAACAGAUGGAAUUAUAUCAUCCAACAAAUCUUCCUGACAGUAAACUUACCAAUAAUUCAAUGUUGCAUAAAUCUCCUACUGAAAUAUUAACUGCAGUUUCAAAAGAUGUAACUAAAAAUUCAUCAAUCCAUGAAUUAGUUUCAAGUGAAAAGAUAAAUAGAAAGUUAUUUGAAAAAUGUCAAAUAGUUUUAGAUUUGCCUUUGACAUUAAAAAUGAAAGAGAA
RNAcentral lists this long non-coding RNA (402 nucleotides) under Androctonus crassicauda. The record is from RNAcentral. Lineage: Eukaryota; Metazoa; Arthropoda; Arachnida; Scorpiones; Buthidae.